CCUACGGGAGGCAGCAGUGGGGAAUAUUGGACAAUGGGCGAAAGCCUGAUCCAGCCAUGCCGCGUGUGUGAAGAAGGCCUUCGGGUUGUAAAGCACUUUCAGUGGGGAAGAAAGCCUUGGGGCUAAUACCCUCGAGGAAGGACAUCACCCACAGAAUAAGCACCGGCUAACUCCGUGCCAGCAGCCGCGGUAAUACGGAGGGUGCGAGCGUUAAUCGGAAUUACUGGGCGUAAAGCGCGCGUAGGCGGUCUGAUAAGCCGGUUGUGAAAGCCCCGGGCUCAACCUGGGAACGGCAUCCGGAACUGUCAGGCUAGAGUGCAGGAGAGGAAGGUAGAAUUCCCGGUGUAGCGGUGAAAUGCGUAGAGAUCGGGAGGAAUACCAGUGGCGAAGGCGGCCUUCUGGACUGACACUGACGCUGAGGUGCGAAAGCGUGGGUAGCAAACAGGAUUAGAUACCCGAGUAGUC
RNAcentral lists this ribosomal RNA (465 nucleotides) under Vreelandella stevensii. Its description in RNAcentral is "partial 16S ribosomal RNA". It matches the Rfam family "Bacterial small subunit ribosomal RNA", at positions 338 to 795 of the family's 1533-position model. Lineage: Bacteria; Pseudomonadati; Pseudomonadota; Gammaproteobacteria; Oceanospirillales; Halomonadaceae. The record is from RNAcentral.